RNAcentral lists this ribosomal RNA (703 nucleotides) under uncultured fungus. RNAcentral describes it as "LSU rRNA". It matches the Rfam family "Eukaryotic large subunit ribosomal RNA", at positions 60 to 781 of the family's 3401-position model. Lineage: Eukaryota; Fungi. The record is from RNAcentral.
AGAAAACAACAGGGAUUCCUCAGUAACGGCGAGUGAAGCGGUAACAGCUCAAAUUUGAAAUCUGGCUCUUUCAGGGUCCGAGUUGUAAUUUGUAGAAGAUGUUUCGGGUGUGGCUCCGGUCUAAGUUCCUUGGAACAGGACGUCGUAGAGGGUGAGAAUCCCGUAUGUGACUGGCUGCCUCCGCCCAUGUGAAACUCUUUCGACGAGUCGAGUUGUUUGGGAAUGCAGCUCAAAAUGGGUGGUAAAUUUCAUCUAAAGCUAAAUAUUGGCCAGAGACCGAUAGUGCACAAGUAGAGUGAUCGAAAGAUGAAAAGCACUUUGGAAAGAGAGUUAAACAGUACGUGAAAUUGUUGAAAGGGAAGCGCUUGCAAUCAGACUUGCGCGCGGCCGAUCAUCCGGGGUUCUCCCCGGUGCACUCGGUCGCGUUCAGGCCAGCAUCGGUUUGGGUGGUGGGAUAAAGGCCUUGGGAAUGUAGCUUCUUUCGGGGAGUGUUAUAGCCCUCGGUGCAAUGCCGCCUAUCCAGACCGAGGACCGCGCUUCGGCUAGGAUGCUGGCGUAAUGGUUGUAAGCGACCCGUCUUGAAACACGGAUCAAGGAGUCUAACACUUAUGCGAGUAUUUGGGUGUCAAACCCAUAUGCGUAAUGAAAGUGAACGGAGGUGAGAACCCUUAAGGGUGCAUCAUCGACCGGUCCUGAUGUCUUC